RNAcentral lists this ribosomal RNA (281 nucleotides) under uncultured microorganism. Its description in RNAcentral is "partial 16S ribosomal RNA". It matches the Rfam family "Bacterial small subunit ribosomal RNA", at positions 346 to 616 of the family's 1533-position model. The record is from RNAcentral.
GUGCACCAGUCGCGAAUCUUCCACAAUGGGGAAACCCUGAUGGAGCGACGCCGCGUGCGGGAUGAAGGCCCUAUGGGUUGUAAACCGCUGUUCAGUGGAAAGAACAUCCUCCGGCUGAAUAGGUCGGAGGCCUGACGUUACCACUGCAGAAAGUCCCGGCCAACUCCGUGCCAGCAGCCGCGGUAAUACGGGGGGGACGAGCGUUGUCCGGAAUCAUUGGGCGGUAAAGGGCGGCGUAGGCGGCGAGGAAGGUCGAAUGUGAAAUCUUGCGGCUCAACUGC